Molecule: small RNA, 529 nt
Filed under: Pongo abelii (Sumatran orangutan)
Lineage: Eukaryota; Metazoa; Chordata; Mammalia; Primates; Hominidae
Description: unitary pseudogene
Source: RNAcentral
AUGGCAGGCUUCCAGGAGCUGUAUGACACCCCCAGGGACAGGCUGGAUGUCUUCGUAAAACAUCCUUCCAGUCUGCCUUCAUAAAACAGCCUCCAGCCCCAGGGAGACUGGAAGGAUGAAGUGAAGGAUGCCAGGCAUAGAAUUGAGCAGUUCUUGAGGGAUCAGUGCUUCUAUAAUGAGCUGAUUCUGGACCAAGAAGUCAGGGUGCUGAAGAUGGCAAAGGUUCCACAGGGAAGGGGACGACGCUGAACUACAGCUCCGACCUGGACCUGAUUCUCUUCUUGAGCUGCUUCUCCAGCAUCCAAGACCAGGCACAGCUGCAAGACCGUAUCACCAGCUUCACUGAAGAGAAUUGGUUCGCUGCAGCAAGAGCCUGGCCUACAACAUCACUGUGGUCCGGCACAGGGAGGGGACCAGGGCCCCUGACUUCCUGUCCCUCCAGGUCCAGUCCAGGAAGAGCAGCGGAGUCAUUUGGAUGGAUAAGGUCCCGGCUUUCUAUGCUCUGGGUAAAGACGACAGGUCGGGUCCA